This 497-nucleotide ribosomal RNA is filed under the name uncultured bacterium. RNAcentral's name for it is "partial 16S ribosomal RNA". It matches the Rfam family "Bacterial small subunit ribosomal RNA", at positions 28 to 507 of the family's 1533-position model. The record is from RNAcentral.
GAUGAACGCUGGCGGCGUGCCUAAUACAUGCAAGUCGAGCGAACGGACGAGAAGCUUGCUUCUCUGAUGUUAGCGGCGGACGGGUGAGUAACACGUGGAUAACCUACCUAUAAGACUGGGAUAACUUCGGGAAACCGGAGCUAAUACCGGAUAAUAUUUUGAACCGCAUGGUUCAAAAGUGAAAGACGGUCUUGCUGUCACUUAUAGAUGGAUCCGCGCUGCAUUAGCUAGUUGGUAAGGUAACGGCUUACCAAGGCAACGAUGCAUAGCCGACCUGAGAGGGUGAUCGGCCACCCUGGAACUGAGACACGGUCCAGACUCCUACGGGAGGCAGCAGUAGGGAAUCUUCCGCAAAGGGCGAAAGCCUGACGGAGCAACGCCGCGUGAGUGAUGAAGGUCUUCGGAUCGUAAAACUCUGUUAUUAGGGAAGAACAUAUGUGUAAGUAACUGUGCACAUCUUGACGGUACCUAAUCAGAAAGCCACGGCUAACUACGUG